CGUUCUAUGGCCGAAUUGGUAAAGGCGUCGCCGAUCACAUGUGAGGGUGCGGGUUCGAGUCCCGCUGGAACGA
RNAcentral lists this transfer RNA (73 nucleotides) under Operophtera brumata (winter moth). It matches the Rfam family "tRNA". From Rfam's summary of the family: Transfer RNA (tRNA) molecules are approximately 80 nucleotides in length. Their secondary structure includes four short double-helical elements and three loops (D, anti-codon, and T loops). Further hydrogen bonds mediate the characteristic L-shaped molecular structure. tRNAs have two regions of fundamental functional importance: the anti-codon, which is responsible for specific mRNA codon recognition, and the 3' end, to which the tRNAs corresponding amino acid is attached (by aminoacyl-tRNA synthetases). tRNAs cope with the degeneracy of the genetic code in two manners: having more than one tRNA (with a specific anti-codon) for a particular amino acid; and 'wobble' base-pairing, i.e. permitting non-standard base-pairing at the 3rd anti-codon position. The record is from Rfam by way of RNAcentral. Lineage: Eukaryota; Metazoa; Arthropoda; Insecta; Lepidoptera; Geometridae.